CCUACGUGUGGCAGCAGUGGGGAAUAUUGGACAAUGGGGGGAACCCUGAUGCAGCCACGCCGCGUGGGGGAGGAAGUACUUCGGUAUGUAAAGCCGUAUUAGUAGGGAGGAAAAUGACGGUACGUGACUAAGAAGCCACGGCUAACUACGUGCCAGCAGCCGCGGCAAUACGUAGGGGGCAGGCGUUAUACGGAUUUACUGGGCGUAAAGGGAGCGUAGACGGAUUGCCAAGUCUGGGGUGAAAUGCCGGGGCUCAACGCGGGGACUGCAUUUAAAACUAGCAUGCUGGAGUGUCGAUGGGGUAAGCGGAAUGUCUGGUGUAGCGGUGAAAUGCUUAGAGAUCAGACAGAACACCGAUUGCGAAGGCAGCUUGCUGAUCUGUAUCUGACGUUGAGGCUCGAAAGCGUGGGGAGCAAACAGGAUUAGAUACCCGGGUAGUC
RNAcentral lists this ribosomal RNA (440 nucleotides) under uncultured bacterium. RNAcentral's name for it is "partial 16S ribosomal RNA". It matches the Rfam family "Bacterial small subunit ribosomal RNA", at positions 338 to 795 of the family's 1533-position model. The record is from RNAcentral.